This 253-nucleotide ribosomal RNA is filed under the name uncultured bacterium. RNAcentral's name for it is "partial 16S ribosomal RNA". It matches the Rfam family "Bacterial small subunit ribosomal RNA", at positions 524 to 776 of the family's 1533-position model. The record is from RNAcentral.
UACGAAGGGGGCUAGCGUUGUUCGGAAUUACUGGGCGUAAAGGGCGCGUAGGCGGUCCUUCAAGUCAGGCGUGAAAGCCCCGGGCUCAACCUGGGAACCGCGCUUGAGACUGGAGAACUAGAGUUCGGGAGAGGAUGGUGGAAUUCCCAGUGUAGAGGUGAAAUUCGUAGAUAUUGGGAAGAACACCGAUGGCGAAGGCAGCCAUCUGGACCGACACUGACGCUGAGGCGCGAAAGCGUGGGGAGCAAACAGG